Drosophila yakuba is the source of this 621-nucleotide long non-coding RNA. RefSeq lists it as uncharacterized. Lineage: Eukaryota; Metazoa; Arthropoda; Insecta; Diptera; Drosophilidae. The transcript is spliced from 2 exons. The record is from RefSeq and is a predicted model, not a curated record.
AGUUUGGACACCGAUUUGGCCAAGGCGUGUAAUUGUUAACCAAGUUAGCUUCGAACAGCACCAAAACAGCAGCAAACAACCGUCAGAACAACAGUCGUACAUAACAACGAAAUGAAAAUGAGCAAGAGCUAAACUGUAUUUCAAUUCUGCGACUACUACACCCAGUCAGGUUACAUUUUUACCUUAACCGAGUUAAAAGAACGUAGCAGGCCACGUUUAUUUUAUGUAUUAUUUUCUCGGUCCAAGUGUGUGUUCAGUCUGUUCUUUUUACCAUUUUAUUCCUGCCCAGUUUGGCAGUCAUAAGCCCGCAUUAUGCUCACUUAAUUAACCGAAAGCCGCUUAGGAGAAUCUCCGCAGACCAAGAUGACGACGGCCUGGCCAAGGGACUUAACUUUAAUGUGUGCUGGUCGAGAUGAGUAAGCCGCUUUUUGGUGGCAGUCUUGGAAUUUUCACGGCCGUUGAUUUUGGUGCAGCCCACGCUGGAAUUUUGGCCACAGGAAGUAGCGCAAAGAAUCUGUUUGCUGUGGAAACCCCACAAAGACUAUGCCCCUCACAAAGUUUGUUGUUUUUGUGCUUGUUUUCUGCUGCUUUUCAUAAAUACAUAUUCUUAUCAAUCCGGCA